RNAcentral lists this ribosomal RNA (497 nucleotides) under uncultured bacterium. Its description in RNAcentral is "partial 16S ribosomal RNA". It matches the Rfam family "Bacterial small subunit ribosomal RNA", at positions 28 to 507 of the family's 1533-position model. The record is from RNAcentral.
GACGAACGCUGGCGGCGUGCCUAAUACAUGCAAGUUGAGCGCUGAAGGUUGGUACUUGUACCCAAUGGAUGAGCAGCGAACGGGUGAGUAACGCGUGGGUAAUCUGCCAUUGAGCGGUGGAGAACAUUUGGAAACGAAUGAUAAUACCGCAUCAAAACAUUAAACACAAGUUUUAAGUUUGAAUGAUGCAAUUGCAUAACUCAUAGAUGGUCCCGCGUUGGAUUAGCUAGGUGGUGAGGGAAAGGCCAACCAAGGCGAUGAUACAUAGCCUGCCUGGGAGGGUGAUCUGCCACAUUGGGAAUGGGAAAAGGGCCAAAAUCCUACGGGAGGCAGCAGGAGGGAAUUAUUGGCAAAGGAGGAAAGGCUUACCGAGGAACGCCGGGGUAGGGAAAAAGGGUCUCGGAUCUUAAAACUCGGUUGGUAGAGAAGGACGUUGGUGAGGGUGGAAAGCUCAUCAAGUGACGGUAACUACACAGAAAGGGACGGCUAACUACGUG